GGCAACCCUGAUCCAGCCAUGCCGCGUGUGUGAAGAAGGCCUUAGGGUUGUAAAGCACUUUCAGUAGGGAGGAAGGCCCAGUAGUUAAUACCUGCAGGGAUUGACGUUACCUACAGAAGCAGCACCGGCUAACUCCGUGCCAGCAGCCGCGGUAAUACGGAGGGUGCAAGCGUUAAUCGGAAUUACUGGGCGUAAAGCGCGCGUAGGCGGUUUGUUAAGUGAGAUGUGAAAGCCCAGGGCUCAACCUUGGAACUGCAUCUCAUACUGGCAGGCUAGAGUACGGUAGAGGGGGGUAGAAUUCCAU
RNAcentral lists this ribosomal RNA (304 nucleotides) under uncultured beta proteobacterium. RNAcentral's name for it is "bacterial SSU rRNA". It matches the Rfam family "Bacterial small subunit ribosomal RNA", at positions 376 to 672 of the family's 1533-position model. The record is from RNAcentral. Lineage: Bacteria; Pseudomonadati; Pseudomonadota; Betaproteobacteria.